CAGUCGCCGCGGUAAUACGAAGGGUGCAAGCGUUACUCGGAAUUACUGGGCGUAAAGCGUGCGUAGGUGGUGGUUUAAGUCCGUUGUGAAAGCCCUGGGCUCAACCUGGGAAUUGCAGUGGAUACUGGGUCACUAGAGUGUGGUAGAGGAUAGUGGAAUUUCCGGUGUAGCAGUGAAAUGCGUAGAGAUCGGAAGGAACAUCUGUGGCGAAGGCGACUAUCUGGGCCAACACUGACACUGAGGCACGAAAGCGUGGGGAGCAAACAGGAUUAGAUACCCGAGUAGUCCCGUCUCUUAUACA
This 301-nucleotide ribosomal RNA is filed under the name uncultured bacterium. RNAcentral's name for it is "partial 16S ribosomal RNA". It matches the Rfam family "Bacterial small subunit ribosomal RNA", at positions 509 to 808 of the family's 1533-position model. The record is from RNAcentral.